UACACUGACAAGACUUUACUGGUGAUCUGGGAAGUUUAGUACCACUUCCAGUGGCUCUAUCAACUUCUGCAUCACUUGGAACAUUUGCACCUUCCCUUUGCAAUUGAUGUGCAUUGUUUUGGGGUCACAACUGCUAAAGAGUUAUACAAAGUUGGCAUCCACUAGGGCAGUGCCACCUGAUAAAAUAUAAUGCAAGCUGAAAAUGCAAGGCACAUUGCAUUUCUAGUAGCCACAUUUUAAAAAACUGACAAGAAACAAAUGAAAUUAAUUUCAAUAUUUUAGUUUACAUAUAUCCAAAAUAUUCAUAUUUUAAUAUGUAAUCGAUUUGUAAAAUAUUACUAACAAGAUUUUCUACCAUUUUAUUUUGUAUUAGAUCUUUGAAAUAUCUGGUGUGCUUUUUACACUUCAGGACAUUUUCAACUAGCCACAAUUCAGCUGUUCAAAAGGCACAUAUAGAUGGUGUUCAUUGUAUCAGAUAGCAAGGCCCUGGAGUUUCAUGGACUGUUAAAUGCCUGGUUAGGCCAGAUUAGUGUCUAAUUUUAGAUAUUCAUAUUUGAAUGUUCAGGAAAUAAAGAAUCACAAUAUAUAUAAAUUAACGCGGCUUGGAUCCCGUGUUGCUGUAGCUCUGGCGUAGGCCGGCAGCUACAGCUCCGAUUGGACCCCUAGCCUGGGAACAUCCCAUAUGCCGAAGGAGCGGCCCAAGAAAUGACAAAAAAAAAAAAAAAAAAAAAAAAAAAAAAGGUGGCUAGUGCCUACUGUGGCUGAGGAUGAGAAGAAACAGUCACCCAUGGUAGGAUUUAAUCUGCACCUGUGUUAGUGGAGUUCCCCCAGGAAGUAAAGCCUAAGACAGGGGAAUAGGAGUGAGGGAGUGAAAACGGAGAGGAAAGCCAAUCCAGGGGACCCUUUCCUGGCUGGCCACCUCUCUUGUGGGCAAUCUAGGCUGGAUUUCUGCCCGACCUCCUGAGGAGCUAUGUAGAUCCUGCCUCCAAGUUGCCCACCUGAAGAGUAGAAGAGGGCAGAGGCGCAUUUACCCAUUAGUUCCUGUCUUCAUUGAGCAAGGCUGCACCAGAGAUGUCAGCUUUUCACAUUCCACUGUUUGUGCAUGUGCCAAAGCUGAUCUGGGUCCAAUAGACAUCCCCCCAAGAGCCUGAGAACCCCUGGAGCAGAACUGAGAGAUAUGGUGAGGCUGGAGUGAGGUGGUGUCAGGCUGCAGGCAGCUGCACCAGGUUGCACAAUAGUGGAAGUAAAUGGUGGGCCGAGAUGUGAGGUGGGCACAAGAGGCAUGCGGUGCAGUACUGUUAUCAGAGGUCAAUGUGAAAUGCUGUUCAAAAUUUAAAUAAACCUAUGCUCUGAAGCAGCAUUCUACUCUGCAGAGAACAAGUUUAUUCUACAGAGAACCAAGAGUGUCCUUUAUGGCAGUGUUUAUAUUCAUGAAAGAGUAACAACAAACCAAAUGCCAAUUAGCAAGGUUAGGUUAAAAAAAAUUAUGCUGACUAAAAUCAACUAUAUCUCGAUGAGAUUUUUUAAAAAUUAAAAAUGGAAGCUAUAAAAUGCAAAUAUUUUAAAAAUUAUGCUAAAUUAAUAUUCAGUAAUAAAGAAGAGUGAAAUAGCUUAUUCUGCCCAUUUAUGGUAUUGAAACCAAAGGAAAGGUCUUUGAAACGCAAAGUGGAAAAGUAAGUAGCAGAACAUUAUAUAAUUCCAGCUUUGUAAAAUCUAUGAUAUAAUACCUUAUACAUAUUUAUAUUAUAUAUAAAGCAAAGGUGAUAUGAUGAAAUUAAAAAAAUAAUUUUCAAUACAUGUAAGAUGGUUAAUAGUACUCUUGGGAGUUGGAUGAAGGGAUUUUUGCCUUUGUGUGUGUGUGUGUGUGUGUAUUUUUAGGGCCACACCUGCAGCACAUGGAGGUUCCCAGUCUAGGGGUCAAAUCUGAGCUGUAGCUGCUAGUCUACACCACAGCCACAGCAAUGCAGGAUCUGAGCCGUGUCGGAGACCUACACCACAGCUCACACCAACACCGGAUCCUUAACCCACUGAAAGAGGCCAGGAAAAGAACCCGCGUCCUCAUGGAUGCUAGUCAGAUUCAUUUCCACUGAGCCAUGACGGGAACUCCUAUGUGUUUGUUGUUUUAAAACAGACAUGUCAGUUUUUCAUAACAAAUAAGUAAUAGAUAGUAAUGAAUUUAAACAAGAUGUAUAAAUGUAAAAUAAUAAAACUUUCCCCAAAGUGUGCCUUAUUAUCAGUGACUUUUGUUUUGGCUAAGUUUUAGUUAGACUGAUAUAACUUGUUUGACUUUUGAAAAUAAAUGUUUCUAUAAUGAAUCCACCAAUUUACAUACAUUACAAAGUUUACAGUUUUGGGAAGCAGUCAGGGUGACAUUAAACGCUAGAAUGCUAGGUUCUCUUUUGGAAACAUAAAACUGUAUAAUCGAUUUUAUGUACUUAUUUUCCCCAAACUUUAUUGCUGAACAUUUGAAUUGGUUAUGAAGACUUUGUAUUUCAGUCUGAAAUUACAAUACGGGAGUGAUUGAUCCUUGCAAUACAUUCCAUGUACAUUGUGGACACAGCAUGCUUUUCAGUACAUUAAGUAAUUAAAAUGUUUUUGCCAAG
This 2603-nucleotide long non-coding RNA is filed under the name Sus scrofa (pig). Its description in RNAcentral is "lncRNA (ENSSSCG00050033281.1)". Lineage: Eukaryota; Metazoa; Chordata; Mammalia; Artiodactyla; Suidae. The record is from RNAcentral.